This 460-nucleotide ribosomal RNA is filed under the name uncultured bacterium. Its description in RNAcentral is "partial 16S ribosomal RNA". It matches the Rfam family "Bacterial small subunit ribosomal RNA", at positions 338 to 795 of the family's 1533-position model. The record is from RNAcentral.
CCUACGGGUGGCAGCAGUGAGGAAUAUUGGUCAAUGGACGAGAGUCUGAACCAGCCACGUAGCGUGAAGGAUGACUGCCCUAUGGGUUGUAAACUUCUUUCAUAUGGGAAUAAAAUGUUCCACGUGUGGGAUUUUGUAUGUACCAUAUGUACAAGGAUCGGCUCACUCUGUGCCAGCAGCCGCGGUAAUACGGAGGAUCCGAGCGUUAUCCGGAUUUAUUGGGUGUAAAGGGAGCGUAGGUGGGUUGGUAAGUCAGUUGUGAAAGUUAGGGGCUCAACCGUAAGAUUGCAGUUGAAACUGGAAGUCUUGAGUACAGGAGAGGUAGACGGAAUUCGUGGUGUAGCGGUGAAAUGCUUAGAUAUCACGAAGAACUCCGAUGGCGAAGGCAGCUCACUGGACUGCAACUGACACUGAGGCUCGAAAGUGUGGGUAUCAAACAGGAUUAGAUACCCCUGUAGUC